GUGUCAGCCGCCGCGGUAAAACGUAGGUGGCGAGCGUUAUCCGGAUUCAUUGGGCGUAAAGAGCUUGUAGGUGGCUGUGUAAGUUGGACGUGAAAGCUCCGGGCUUAACUUGGAGAGGUCGUUCAAUACUGCGCGGCUAGAGGAUGUCAGAGGGGAGUGGAAUUCCUGGUGUAGCAGUGAAAUGCGUAGAUAUCAGGAGGAACACCCGUGGCGAAGGCGGCUCCCUGGGGCAAGCCUGACACUGAGAAGCGAAAGCUGGGGGAGCAAACGGGAUUAGAAACCCUCGUAGUCC
Molecule: ribosomal RNA, 292 nt
Filed under: uncultured bacterium
Lineage: Bacteria
Description: partial 16S ribosomal RNA
Rfam family: Bacterial small subunit ribosomal RNA
Source: RNAcentral